UACGUAGGUCCCGAGCGUUGUCCGGAUUUAUUGGGCGUUAAGCGAGCGCAGGUGGUUUAUUAAGUCUGGUGUAAAAGGCAGUGGCUCAACCAUUGUAUGCAUUGGAAACUGGUAGACUUGAGUGCAGGAGAGGAGAGUGGAAUUCCAUGUGUAGCGGUGAAAUGCGUAGAUAUAUGGAGGAACACCGGUGGCGAAAGCGGCUCUCUGGCCUGUAACUGACACUGAGGCUCGAAAGCGUGGGGAGCAAACAGG
This 252-nucleotide ribosomal RNA is filed under the name uncultured bacterium. RNAcentral describes it as "partial 16S ribosomal RNA". It matches the Rfam family "Bacterial small subunit ribosomal RNA", at positions 524 to 776 of the family's 1533-position model. The record is from RNAcentral.